Molecule: ribosomal RNA, 532 nt
Filed under: uncultured bacterium
Lineage: Bacteria
Description: bacterial SSU rRNA
Rfam family: Bacterial small subunit ribosomal RNA
Source: RNAcentral
AAUAGAUACCCCGGUAGUCCACGCCGUAAACGAUGAGUGCUAAGUGUUAGAGGGUUUCCGCCCUUUAGUGCUGCAGCAAACGCAUUAAGCACUCCGCCUGGGGAGUACGGCCGCAAGGCUGAAACUCAAAGGAAUUGACGGGGGCCCGCACAAGCGGUGGAGCAUGUGGUUUAAUUCGAAGCAACGCGAAGAACCUUACCAGGUCUUGACAUCUCCUGACAACCCUAGAGAUAGGGCGUUCCCCUUCGGGGGACAGGAUGACAGGUGGUGCAUGGUUGUCGUCAGCUCGUGUCGUGAGAUGUUGGGUUAAGUCCCGCAACGAGCGCAACCCUUGAUCUUAGUUGCCAGCAUUCAGUUGGGCACUCUAAGGUGACUGCCGGUGACAAACCGGAGGAAGGUGGGGAUGACGUCAAAUCAUCAUGCCCCUUAUGACCUGGGCUACACACGUGCUACAAUGGAUGGUACAAAGGGCUGCGAGACCGCGAGGUUAAGCGAAUCCCAUAAAACCAUUCUCAGUUCGGAUUGCAGGCUG